ACUUUUGAAAGAUAAUAGUAAUCUAUU
RNAcentral lists this transfer RNA (27 nucleotides) under Tetronarce californica (Pacific electric ray). Its description in RNAcentral is "partial tRNA-Leu". The record is from RNAcentral. RNAcentral also lists the same sequence under 1 other name. Lineage: Eukaryota; Metazoa; Chordata; Chondrichthyes; Torpediniformes; Torpedinidae.